This 1948-nucleotide ribosomal RNA is filed under the name human gut metagenome. RNAcentral describes it as "bacterial LSU rRNA". It matches the Rfam family "Bacterial large subunit ribosomal RNA", at positions 1 to 1975 of the family's 2925-position model. The record is from RNAcentral.
UUAAGCGACUAAGCGUACACGGUGGAUGCCCUGGCAGUCAGAGGCGAUGAAGGACGUGCUAAUCUGCGAAAAGCGCCGGCGAGGUGAUAUGAACCCUUGACCCGGCGAUGUCCGAAUGGGGAAACCCAGUGCAAUCCGUUGCACUAUCGUUAACUGAAUACAUAGGUUAACGAGGCGAACCGGGGGAACUGAAACAUCUAAGUACCCCGAGGAAAAGAAAUCAACCGAGAUUCCCCCAGUAGCGGCGAGCGAACGGGGAGCAGCCCGGAGUCUGAAUCAGCUUGUGUGUUAGUGGAACGGUCUGGAAAGUCCGACGGUACAGGGUGAUAGUCCCGUACACGAAAAUGCACAUGCUGUGAACUCGAAGAGUAGGGCGGGACACGUGGUAUCCUGUCUGAAUAUGGGGGGACCAUCCUCCAAGGCUAAAUACUCCUGACUGACCGAUAGUGAACCAGUACCGUGAGGGAAAGGCGAAAAGAACCCCGGCGAGGGGAGUGAAAAAGAACCUGAAACCGUGUACGUACAAGCAGUGGGAGCCUCUUUAUGGGGUGACUGCGUACCUUUUGUAUAAUGGGUCAGCGACUUAUAUUCUGUAGCAAGGUUAACCGUAUAGGGGAGCCGAAGGGAAACCGAGUCUUAACUGGGCGUUAAGUUGCAGGGUAUAGACCCGAAACCCGGUGAUCUAGCCAUGGGCAGGUUGAAGGUUGGGUAACACUAACUGGAGGACCGAACCGACUAAUGUUGAAAAAUUAGCGGAUGACCUGUGGCUGGGGGUGAAAGGCCAAUCAAACCGGGAGAUAGCUGGUUCUCCCCGAAAGCUAUUUAGGUAGCGCCUCGUGAACUCAUCUUCGGGGGUAGAGCACUGUUUCGGCUAGGGGGCCAUCCCGGCUUACCAACCCGAUGCAAACUACGAAUACCGAAGAAUGUUAUCACGGGAGACACACGGCGGGUGCUAACGUCCGUCGUGAAGAGGGAAACAACCCAGACCGCCAGCUAAGGUCCCAAAGUCAUGGUUAAGUGGGAAACGAUGUGGGAAGGCACAGACAGCCAGGAUGUUGGCUUAGAAGCAGCCAUCAUUUAAAGAAAGCGUAAUAGCUCACUGGUCGAGUCGGCCUGCGCGGAAGAUGUAACGGGGCUAAACCAUGCACCGAAGCUGCGGCAGCGACACUAUGUGUUGUUGGGUAGGGGAGCGUUCUGUAAGCCGUUGAAGGUGUGCUGUGAGGCAUGCUGGAGGUAUCAGAAGUGCGAAUGCUGACAUAAGUAACGAUAAAGCGGGUGAAAAGCCCGCUCGCCGGAAGACCAAGGGUUCCUGUCCAACGUUAAUCGGGGCAGGGUGAGUCGACCCCUAAGGCGAGGCCGAAAGGCGUAGUCGAUGGGAAACAGGUUAAUAUUCCUGUACUUGGUGUUACUGCGAAGGGGGGACGGAGAAGGCUAUGUCAGCCGGGCGACGGUUGUCCCGGUUUAAGCAUGUAGGCGGAGGUUCCAGGUAAAUCCGGUACCUUUUUAACGCUGAGGUGUGAUGACGAGGCACUACGGUGCUGAAGUGAUAAAUGCCCUGCUUCCAGGAAAAGCCUCUAAGCAUCAGGUAACACGAAAUCGUACCCCAAACCGACACAGGUGGUCAGGUAGAGAAUACCAAGGCGCUUGAGAGAACUCGGGUGAAGGAACUAGGCAAAAUGGUGCCGUAACUUCGGGAGAAGGCACGCUGAUAUGUAGGUGAAGCCCCUGCGGGCGGAGCUGAAAUCAGUCGAAGAUACCAGCUGGCUGCAACUGUUUAUUAAAAACACAGCACUGUGCAAACACGAAAGUGGACGUAUACGGUGUGACGCCUGCCCGGUGCCGGAAGGUUAAUUGAUGGGGUUAGCGGCAACGCGAAGCUCUUGAUCGAAGCCCCGGUAAACGGCGGCCGUAACUAUAACGGUCCUAAGGUAGCGAAAUUCCUUGUCGG